RNAcentral lists this ribosomal RNA (448 nucleotides) under uncultured bacterium. RNAcentral describes it as "partial 16S ribosomal RNA". It matches the Rfam family "Bacterial small subunit ribosomal RNA", at positions 29 to 523 of the family's 1533-position model. The record is from RNAcentral.
AGCGAACGCUGGCGGCAGGCCUAAUACAUGCAAGUCGAACGGCUCUUCGGAGCAGUGGCGGACGGGUGAGUAACGCGUGGGAAUGUGCCCUUAGGUACGGAACAACACAGGGAAACUUGUGCUAAUACCGUAUGUGCCCUUCGGGGGCAAGAAUUAUCGCCGCUUGGAGCAGCCCGCGUUGGAUUAGGUAGUUGGUGAGGUAAAGGCUCACACAACCGACGAUCCAUAGCUGGUCUGAGAGGAUGACCAGCCACACUGGGAGUGAGACACGGCCCAGACUCCUACGGGAGGCAGCAGUAGGGAACCUUGCGCAAUGGGCGAAAGCCUGACGCAGCCAUGCCGCGUGUAUGAUGAAGGUCUUAGGAUUGUAAAAUACUUUCACCGGGGAAGAUGAUGACGGUACCCGGAGAAGAAGCCCCGGCUAACUGCGUGCCAGCCGCCGCCGUAA